GGGAAGGAACAGUUGCAAAGCACAGCUAGGUGCCUCUGCGCCGGCUGUGAGGGAACAUCUCUGUUGCUUUCAGUGCUGAGAGUGUCUGCUCGCCAGAAGGCCUGUGUUUCCUAGGCAGCUCAUGCUGGUGGGAGUCAUUUCUGCGAUGCCAGUGUUCCUUUCAUGAGUCUGCCUCAGCUCAAGGCAAAGAGCGUGAGCCUAUUUGAGACUGAAAUGCUAUUCUGCACCACGUUAGAUCAACGAGUUGAUGGCAGUAAUCAACCAGCUUACAAUUAUUGGAAAUAAUUUUGGCUAUAAGCCAAGUCCUGUAUUACAGCCUUAAGGAUGCUUCCAUGCAGAACAAGACAUGGAAAGCAUUCGGGUGGCUUAGCAGGAUUUCCACACAGCUCCAGAGAGCAGAUAUUAUGGAAACUCUGCAACCUUUUGAACAUAGCACGUUCUCCUUCUUUCUUGGCAUUUCAAACCUAUGAGGCUUCAUGAUCAAAGCCCUAGCACACUCCAAAUAAUAAAGGAAUCACCAGACACUCUACCUUGAUGUCAGGAUCCUGUUUCUCACGUAAUUUUUGGCUGAUGACUGGGGUGGAGACACAGGGGUAAAGCAACACUUGAGCAGCAUUGCAGAAACCUAGACUGAAGUUUUUCAUACUUCACUGAAGUCCAAGGCCAUUUACGUGCUUUGCUGAACACACUAAGAUCAGAGACAUUAGACUGGGAAGUACAAGGAAACCAGCAGGGCCCAAAGCAACAGCUCACAAUAACCAGCCACUGAGAAGCUCACAAAGGACUGGGGGUCACAGACUGUGUCUAGCACCUGCUAGAGUGUUCCUAGGGGUGCACUGAAGAUGAAGAUCUACAGCACUUGAUGGCCAGAUUUUCUCAGCUCAGGCCUAGUUCAGUCUGAGCCUGAGCAGGAAAUGCCAGAACCCUUUGGCAAGGCCCAAGAUCUGUGCAAGGUAAGAUCUUGGUAAUUCUUUCUGCCAGACAUUGUCACCACAAGACCAAGGAGAAACUGUUCAAAGGGCCAGGACCUUGUCAUGCUUCAUGGUGAGCCUGCUCUGGGAGGACCCUACGCAGCAGGCUCACUCACUGAUUUCUUCAAAGAAUAUCCACCAGUCAUCAUGAAGUUACUGGUAAGGAUCCUAUCAUUGAGAAAGGAUCAGACAGAUGGCCACAAAGCCUCGUGGCACCCUGGGUGAAUUUCACAGAGCAAUAUGAACAAGCCAUGAGUCCAUGCUCUAUCACGGGCACAAUGUCCAGAAAGAUUUGGGAUUUUCUGCUCCAGCUCUGCUUUAAAACCAGGUAGUUUUCUUCCUCCCAUUACUCUUACUGGUUGUAGAUUGCCAUUGCUUUGACAAUUAGAAAGUUUUUCUAAUUGCCAGUGUAAAUGUAUUCUGUUCAGUUUAAUGCCCUUUGCUUAAAAUGGUCUUUUUCCCCUUCAGCGAUUACCCCUCUAAUGUUCUCUUAGCAAGUGUCUGACCUUGAGUUGGGCAGCUAGCCUCAUUCUCCUCACUCUGCUGGAGACAGACUAGGAAAACCCCAUUUCCCAUGUUUUCCUUGAUCCCUGAUAUUGAUUCUGGCUCUGACUGCUGUCCUCCCCAGAGGAGGCAUCCCUCCAGGAAAAAGAGAUUCAAAGGAGGAGGUCACAGUGUUAGCAAAGGCCAAGGUCUUCCUGUCCACCGACCCCAUUAGGCUGAGAUGCUCAUAGCAGUGCUAUGAUAUUGCCCCAGUGACACUUCUCCCCCUCGCUGGGAAGCACUAUUUCUCCAUGGAUUCUCUCUUCUUGCCUAAACAGAAGAUGCAUCACCAAAUGUUGUGACAUAUUCAGGGAAAAUUAUUAUUAUUCCUUUUGUAUGUAACAGAUCAAUAUACCACAGACUUGCAGCAACCAGAUUAGAAAGUAAUAGAACAAACUUAGGAAAAUGAAGAGGAAAAACCCCAAAUUAUAAAUGAAACAAGCCUUGCCUCCAACCUUACAUUUAAGCCAACAAAUAUAUUAAAACAUGUUUUUAACUGCUAAGUAUUGGCAAGCAUAGCCAAUCCUAGAGCAAUCACAGAGCAAUAAAAUAGCAGCCAUAAAAAACAGAUUGGAUGCUAUGAGAUAAACCGCAGCACAUCAAUUUACACAAUUAAUAACUGCCAGAAUAAUUGCAAUUCAUUUAGGAGUUGGAAUCAAAUCGCAAAUCAGUCCCAGAAAUGUGUUAAAUAACAAAUACCAAUUUUAAUACAGAAUUGCUGAGUAUGGCAUUAGUAAUUGUAAGGAGUGUUGUAAAUACAGAUGCUAAUCCCCUAGUGUUGCUCACAGUAUUAUUUACACAUUUUGCACUAACACUUUGUCCCCACUGGUGUCACAUACAACAGUAUUUAUUCCCAAAGUGCUGUGUUAUUACUUUUGGAUUUCCAGGUACCUACUUUGCCUAUUGUUCAGUGGACUACUGCCAUAUCUUUUGCCCAGCAGUCAUAUACAUGCUUAGCAUCUCUUCUUUGAUUCAUAUCAGAAAAACAGGGAUUUUUCAGGCUGCAGCAAUGAGUUUCUGUGAUGGCAGAACUGUUCCCAAAUACCAGCAAUUAUUAUAACCACAAAGCAAAACACAUUAUUCCUGUUUGUAAACUAUGAUUAUAGGGCCUUAAUAUGUGUAGUUGUAAAGCUCAACCUUGAUUAAAGGUUUAAUUUACAGUGCAAUACUUUGUACUCACAGCUUGUUCCAGAAGAGAGGGAACAUGCUGCAUCUGAGACAGAGAUGUGGUUGCUGGCUGCCUGUGAUGGCUCGUUUCUCGUGAGCAGAUGUGGUGAGAGUGAGGCAA
Long non-coding RNA from Oxyura jamaicensis (ruddy duck), 2802 nucleotides. RefSeq lists it as uncharacterized. The transcript is spliced from 3 exons. NCBI's taxonomy places the organism in Eukaryota, Metazoa, Chordata, Aves, Anseriformes, Anatidae. The record is from RefSeq and is a predicted model, not a curated record.